Numida meleagris (helmeted guineafowl) is the source of this 2070-nucleotide long non-coding RNA. Ensembl annotates it as syntaxin-4-like. The record is from Ensembl. Lineage: Eukaryota; Metazoa; Chordata; Aves; Galliformes; Numididae.
ACCCCAUAGCAAACCCCAUAGCAAACCCCAUAGCAAACCCCAUAGCAAACCCCAUAGCAAACCCCAUAGCACCUACUGCAGACCCCAUAACCCCAUGAGGCCAAUUGCAAACCCCAUAGAAAACCCCAUAGACCCUCAAACCCCAUAGCAAACCCCAUAAACCCCAUAACCCCAUAGCAAACCCCAUAGCACCUACUGCAGACCCCAUAACCCCAUGAGGCCAAUUGCAAACCCCACAGAAAAACCCCAUAGACCCUACAACCCUACAGCAAAACCCACAGGAAACCCCACAGACCCCACAACCCCAUAGGAAACCCCACCGACCCCAUGGCAAACCCCCUAGGAUCCAUUGCAGACCCAUAGCAAACCUCACAGACCCCAUAACCCCAUAGCAAACCCCACAGGAAACACCAGAACCCCAUAGGAUCUAUGGCAGACCCCAUAGCAAACCCCACAAAUUCCGAAACCCCAUAAGUCUGCCCCAUAAGUCCCCCGCUCCUAUCCCCUUUUCUCCAGCCCCUGGAGGACCCCGCGCCUAGAGCGGCCCUUUCUACGCUCCCCGCGCACCUCCCGACUUCCGCUCAGUGACCGCAGAAGGGCGGGGUUAAGGCAGGAAGUGGGCGUGGUUAGGGCAGGAAGUAGGCGUGGAUAGGGCAGGAAGUGGGCGUGGCCACGGGGCGGAAGUGGGCUUUGACGCCGCCAUGCGGGACCGGACGCGGGAACUCCUCCAGGACUACGUCCCCAGCGAUGAGGAGGGGGAGGAGACGGUGGCGUUGGUGGGGCUGAAGCCGCCCCGCGAGGAUGAGACGCUGCUGCAGGCGCGGGCGGUGCGGGCGGCGCUGCGGGCGCUGGAGCAGAAGCUGGCGGAGCUGGAGCAGCUGCAGGAGGCGCUGCUGGGAAACGCGCUGCCCGACCCCGGUGGGGGCACGGGGUCAUGGGGUCACGGGGUCAUUGGGGUUAUGGGGUCAUGGGGUCAUGGGGNCCCCACUGUGCCCCACAGAGCCCCACAGAGCCCCACUGUGCCCCAUAGAGCCCCGCAGAACCCCAUAGAGCCCCACUGCGCCCCAUAGAGCCCCACAGAAUCCCAUAGAGCCCCACUGUGCCCCACAGAACCCCACUGCACCCCAUAGAGCCCCACAGAACCCCAUAGAGCCCCACUGCGCCCCACAGAACCCCACUGUGCCCCAUAGAGCCCCACAGAACCCCACUGCGCACCAUAGAGCCCCACUGUGCCCCACAGAACCCCACUGUGCCCCACUGUGCCCCACUGAGCCCCACAGCGCCCCACAGAACCCCACUGUGCCCCAUAGAGCCCCACAGAACCCCACUGCGCCCCAUAGAGCCCCACAGAACCCCAUAGAACCCCACUUCGCCCCAUAGAGCCCCACAGAAUCCCAUAGAACCCCACUAUGCCCCACAGAACCCCACUGCACCCCAUAGAGCCCCACUGCGCCCCACAGAACCCCACUGUGCCCCACAGAACCCCACUGCGCACCAUAGAGCCCCACUGUGCCCCAUAGAGCCCCAUAGAGCCCCACUGUGCCCCACAGAACCCCACUGUGCCCCACUGCUCCCCACAGAGCCCCACUGUGCCCCAUAGAGCCCCACUGCGCCCCAUAGAAACCCACUUUGCCCUACAGAACCCCACUGUGCCCCACAGAACCCCACUGUGCCCCACUGUGCCCCAUGGAACCACAUAGAACCCCACUGCGCCCCACAGAGCCACUACUGCGCCCCACUGCCCCAUAACCAGCCCCACGGCACCUCACUGCCCCACAGCCAGCCCCAUGGCCUUGUAACAAACCCCACUGCCCCAUAGUCAGCCCCACAGCACCUCACUGCCCCACAGCCUGCCCCAUAGCAAACCCCACUGCCCCACAUCACCUCACUGCCCCACAACCAGCCCCACAGCACCCCACUGCCCCACAACCAGCCCCACAGCACCCCACUGCCCCACAACCAGCCCCACAGCACCCCACUGCCCCACAACCAGCCCCAUAGCAAACCCCACUGCCCCACAACCAGCCCCACAGCAAACCCCACUGCCCCACAGCCAGCCCCACUGCCUUG